GACGAACGCUGGCGGCGUGCUUAACACAUGCAAGUCGAACGGAAAGGCCCUGCUUUUGUGGGGUGCUCGAGUGGCGAACGGGUGAGUAACACGUGAGUAACCUGCCCUUGACUUUGGGAUAACUUCAGGAAACUGGGGCUAAUACCGGAUAGGAGCUCCUGCUGCAUGGUGGGGGUUGGAAAGUUUCGGCGGUUGGGGAUGGACUCGCGGCUUAUCAGCUUGUUGGUGGGGUAGUGGCUUACCAAGGCUUUGACGGGUAGCCGGCCUGAGGGUGACCGGCCACAUUGGGACUGAGAUACGGCCCAGACUCCUACGGGAGGCAGCAGUGGGGAAUAUUGCACAAUUGGCGGAAGCCUGAUGCAGCAACGCCGCGUGCGGGAUGACGGCCUUCGGGUUGUAAACCGCUUUCGCCUGUGACGAAGCGUGAGUGACGGUAAUGGGUAAAGAAGCACCGGCUAACUACGUG
RNAcentral lists this ribosomal RNA (466 nucleotides) under uncultured bacterium. RNAcentral describes it as "partial 16S ribosomal RNA". It matches the Rfam family "Bacterial small subunit ribosomal RNA", at positions 28 to 507 of the family's 1533-position model. The record is from RNAcentral.